Molecule: ribosomal RNA, 646 nt
Filed under: uncultured bacterium
Lineage: Bacteria
Description: bacterial SSU rRNA
Rfam family: Bacterial small subunit ribosomal RNA
Source: RNAcentral
CGCUGAGGCUCGANAGCGGGGGGAGCGAACAGGAUUAGAUACCCUGGUAGUCCACGCCGUAAACGAUGAGUGCUAAGUGUUGGAGGGUUUCCGCCCUUCAGUGCUGCAGCAAACGCAUUAAGCACUCCGCCUGGGGAGUACGACCGCAAGGUUGAAACUCAAAGGAAUUGACGGGGGCCCGCACAAGCGGUGGAGCAUGUGGUUUAAUUCGAAGCAACGCGAAGAACCUUACCAGGUCUUGACAUCCUUUGACCACUCUAGAGAUAGAGCUUCCCCUUCGGGGGCAAAGUGACAGGUGGUGCAUGGUUGUCGUCAGCUCGUGUCGUGAGAUGUUGGGUUAAGUCCCGCAACGAGCGCAACCCUUAUUGUUAGUUGCCAUCAUUUAGUUGGGCACUCUAGCGAGACUGCCGGUGACAAACCGGAGGAAGGUGGGGAUGACGUCAAAUCAUCAUGCCCCUUAUGACCUGGGCUACACACGUGCUACAAUGGGAAGUACAACGAGUUGCGAAGUCGCGAGGCUAAGCUAAUCUCUUAAAGCUUCUCUCAGUUCGGAUUGUAGGCUGCAACUCGCCUACAUGAAGCCGGAAUCGCUAGUAAUCGCGGAUCAGCACGCCGCGGUGAAUACGUUCCCGGGCCUUGUACACAC